This 253-nucleotide ribosomal RNA is filed under the name uncultured bacterium. Its description in RNAcentral is "partial 16S ribosomal RNA". It matches the Rfam family "Bacterial small subunit ribosomal RNA", at positions 524 to 776 of the family's 1533-position model. The record is from RNAcentral.
GACGAACCGUGCGAACGUUGUUCGGAAUCACUGGGCUUAAAGGGCGCGUAGGCGGCUUGCCAAGUCAGGGGUGAAAUCCUCCAGCUUAACUGGAGAAGUGCCUUUGAUACUGGCAGGCUCGAGGUAGGUAGGGGCAUGUGGAACUUCCGGUGGAGCGGUGAAAUGCGUUGAUAUCGGAAGGAACGCCGGUGGCGAAAGCGACGUGCUGGACCUCUUCUGACGCUGAGGCGCGAAAGCUAGGGGAGCAAACGGG